AACGUAGGAGGCGAGCGUUAUCCGGAGUUACUGGGCGUAAAGCGCGCGCAGGCGGUUGGGUAAGUGGCUGGUGAAAGCCCGUGGCUAAACCGGGGGAGUGCCGGUCAGACUGUCCGACUAGAGGACGAUAGAGGGACGCAGAAUUCCGGGUGUAGCGGUGAAAUGUGUAGAGAUCCGGGGGAAUACCAGAGGAGCAGUCGGCGUCCUGGGUCGUAGCUGGCGCUGAGGCGCGAAAGCGUGGGGAGCGAACGGG
RNAcentral lists this ribosomal RNA (253 nucleotides) under uncultured bacterium. RNAcentral describes it as "partial 16S ribosomal RNA". It matches the Rfam family "Bacterial small subunit ribosomal RNA", at positions 524 to 776 of the family's 1533-position model. The record is from RNAcentral.